CGCGGGGCGGCCGGGCGGGGGCAGCAGCGGCCGGCGCAGAGCGAUGGGAGCCGGGCGGGGCCCGAGGUCCCGUCCCUUCCUCCGCCUGCAGGGGCGGCCCCGGCUGGCCGUAAGGAGCGGAGCCGCUGUAGGGGGUGCGGGACGGCGCUGCGUUGGGUGACCCCGAACCCGCAGAGCACGCGGAGUGCGGCGGGAGGUGUCACUGCCCUGCCUGCCCUUCUUCACGUGAACGGGACCCCCGUGCAGUGGGAGCGGGGCAGAGCUCCGCCCUGUGCCCCCCUAUCGCCGACCCCCAUCUCGCACCCUUAUGCUGUCCUUAUUGUAUUCUGUGCCCGUCUCACCCCACCCUGCCUCACACCCAUUGCUGUCCCCGUUUUUCCCUGUCCCUAUUCCACCUCCAUCCCGUUCCUGUCUCCAUUGAAUCCCCGUCCCAUCACUGUCCCUCCCUCUCCCCAUCUCACCCCUUUUGCUGUCCUUACCCCAUUCUAUCCUCAUCUCAUCCCUAUCUCAUCCCUCUUCUAUCCCUAUUCCACCCCAUCCCUAUCUCCCUAUUCCUAUAUCUCUGUAUCCCUAUAUCAUCCCUAUUCCCGUCCCUGUCCCCAUCCCACCCUAUCCCUGUCCCAUCCUCGUUCUGUCCCCGUCCCCACCCUGUCCCCAUCUCUCUUCCAUUCCCGUUCUUAUCCUACACUAUCCCCAUUUCAUUUCCCUCCCAUCUCCAUUCCAUCCUGUCCCUAUCUCAUCCCCACUGCUAGCCCCAUCCCAUCUCUAUCCCAUCCCAUCCCAUCCCCGUCUCUUCCUGUCCCCAUCCCAUUUCCCCCCGUCCCCAUUCCAUCUCCAGCCCACCCUGUCUCCAUUUAAUCCCUCUUCCGUCCUCAUCCCAUUCUAUCCUCAUCUCAUCCCUGCUAUCCCCAUUCUGUCCUAUCUCUAUCUCACCCCCAUUCCUCUUCCCGUUGCCAUUCCUGUCCCCAUCCCAUCCCUCCCUGUCCCCAUCUCACCCCCACUCCUGUCCCUGUCCCCAUCUCACCCCUGU
This 1030-nucleotide long non-coding RNA is filed under the name Chrysolophus pictus (golden pheasant). Its description in RNAcentral is "lncRNA (ENSCPIG00010003913.1)". The record is from RNAcentral. Lineage: Eukaryota; Metazoa; Chordata; Aves; Galliformes; Phasianidae.